CAUCCAGCCAUCCACCAGCCGCGCCGUCCAGCCAUCCACCAGCCUCACCACCAGAGCCAGAGAAUGCAGCCAUGGGAUGUCUGGUACAGAAACAUUUUAUCCAGUCAAGAGGGUCGUAAAACACAAAAGGCUUAAGGGAAAAACAAUGGAACUUAUUGAGUGGGAGCCCUGUUCGAUGUGUGGGAAGACCUGGCCCCUCGAGUGGGUAGCCAAGAAAGACACAAAGUCUUAAAUGACAUAAAUAUAUUUUUUAUGUUAUUAUGUCUCGUUAUGUUCAAAACAAAUAAAGUUCAAACACUAAAACCUCAAAGACUUUGGUCUUAUGUUUUGUAUGUAUGUGAACUGCUGAAACUGUUCUAUUGUUGAAACGAUGUACACAUGUUUAAAAAAAACAGUAAAACAUGCAAGAAUGCAUGUUAGUAUGACAACAGAAGUUAAGCAUAACUACACAGAAAAUAAUAUUGUUCUUUUUCAUGACCCUUACCUAAUAUGUAUUGUCCUAGUUGAGUUGCCGUACUGUGCCUGACCCGCUUGUGCAUGCGGCAUAGAGUUAUGAUGCAGGUAUAUCUUAAUAUCCUUUUUUAUUUUUUCAUAGUUUCUUUUUAUUGUUUCAUAGUAUCCAGAAUUAGAUGUACGACCCCUCAUUAAACGUUUACAGUAAAUAACAUAAUUAACAAAUAAGACAAUGACUCAGACAAUAUGAAACUUGGUGGCAGCAAUAGCAGCGUCCACAGCAACCACCAUAACAACGGUAAAAAGCUAAAGAGAAUCUAAAAUCUUUGUAGAAACUAAUAAACAGGUCUUCUACAUUCUCUGAUUAUAAAAGUAUAACGCAU
This is a long non-coding RNA of Pungitius pungitius (ninespine stickleback), 836 nucleotides long. RefSeq lists it as uncharacterized. Lineage: Eukaryota; Metazoa; Chordata; Actinopteri; Perciformes; Gasterosteidae. The record is from RefSeq and is a predicted model, not a curated record. The transcript is spliced from 4 exons.